CUCAGUUCUUGUAUUGUGGGUACUGUAAGAUAUUUUGCACUCAAGAACAAAAUUUCCAUGUAGCUUUAAAAGAUGAAGGGAGAUGAGACAAAACAGUCCAAAAGUACAUCUUGCUCUUAGAGGGCUACCUUAAGGUAUAAGAAGAGAUGGUACCCAUGCUGUCCUGCCUUUGUUGACUCCAAGAUAUCUUAGUAUUUUAUUUUAUAUUGUUUUUAAGUGUGCUUGCUUCUACUUCUGUGCUAGAAGUUUCCACUGAGGGUUGAGAGUGAUGCCUCCAGGGGAAGGUGAGGGAAUUGAAGACCAGUUCACAGUGAGAUGAUGUCCUGAGCAGAGUGCUAACCAGGAAUACCCUCUGCAGGAAUGCUGGGCUGAUUUAAGGGUCAAUGUGGGGAGAUGAAGAGCAAUUACUACUGGGCUACGAAGAAGGAAUGUACAGCGUACAAGUACUGAGUGGGAUGAACCGUUGCUGAUUCAGGCCCAUGGCUGCUGUGCAUGUGACAAAUGAACAGCAGCUGGAAGGCAGAGGGUUUUAUCUGGAAAAGGCUGAGCAUUAUGGAAGAGAAAUGCUCGCUGGUGGUUAUGAGAGAAAAACACUCCAAAAAAAAAAAAAAAUUCUGCAGUUGAUUUAUAUUUCUAUUAUGGGCUUAUCCUGUUAGCUUGUUCUUAGAGAAGAGCUGUUCCCUGAGGUACCAUUUAUCCAUUUUAGAAACUCUCCUCCCCCGAGAAGUUUGCAACAGUGGAAAGAACAAAAGUUGGGGAUGUUUGAAGAAGAAAUUUGGCAAAAGCAACCGAAUGGCUGGAUCCAAAGGGGAAUGAAAAGGCUGACUCUUCUGGGGUGCUACCACUUAGCAUGAAUACAGACAGAGAGACUUUGCGAUGAUCUCAAAUGGCCAUUUUAGAGUAUUUUUUCUCUAACUUGUGUUAAGGAUGAGUGUCGUGGGGAAAGGUAUGUGAUGGUGUAAUAGCUGUCCAUGUCAUGGAAGGCUGGAUGGCUACAAGCAAUGAAAUUUGAAAUCAAUCCCAAAUCCUGCCGAGUCCAGGAGACCUUCACACCCAUGAAGGCACCACUGCUGAGUCAGGCCAAUGGCUGCGUGCACACCCAAGAAAUACACACGUGCUGAUAGAAAACAGAUUUAAAAGUACCUAAAAUAAUAGCUUUUUAAGACAGUCUUACGAUCACAUAACUUGUUGGAAAAAGCAUACCAUGGCUCACAAUCUGAAUUAAACAUUGUCAUUGUGGUAUAGAAGAAGGUGCAUGCUCAGGAGUUGCUAUCUGACUGAGUUGCUGAAGACAGCGAGUCACUGACAGAGGAGUAGGAAUUAUCAAAAGAGAAGUGUCUGCCACCCUGUUUCUUUUGUGCUAACCACCAACAGCUGGAGACCAGGCCAAAGAGAGGCAAGAGAAGCACGUCUCAAGGAAGCAUGUGCUUAAGCACGAAGAUGAACAAAGCUUCCAGGGCUAUUCAAAUCAGCUCUGGCUAUACCAAGUCCAUGCCUAUCCAUUAUACUUUCCAUAUAUUUUAAUAAAUUCAAAGAGAGCUGCUGAGAUUAAAGGGAAGAGCUUUGUGGUGGACAACUCGAAAUGAACAGGCUCUUCCUGCUGUGCAAGGCAGCGACUUGCUGAAGAUGGAGCCUGCACAUCAAAGGAGAGGAUCAUAAGGAUUCUGCCAGGUUUUAAUGCAACAUACCGGCUAUUUUGACUUGGUCGUCUUCUAAUCAAACUGGAGAUGUUUAGCUAGAAACUCCUUUCCCUGUUAUUUCAAACAUAGCCCAAGCACAGCUCCAGUGUCUGCUGAGGAUAGGUUGGGCAUGGAUGGGAGAGAGCUGACCCUACCUCGAUUUGUUGUGUUCCUUCCUUAUCUGCCCAUUCUAAUGGAAGUCUGCCACACAUCAUGGAUGCAAAGUGUGGAGCAUCAGAUGUUCACAGCUUCCCAUUGUGAAGUGAAGGUGUUGGGACCACUUUGUCUUCAGGACUGGACCAACGCUUUAACUACAAGAAAGUGUCAGAUAUGCGGGAUGAUGAUGCAUGGAAAGAAGAAAAACAUUCCUGAGUCAUCCUGUUUCCUGAGCAUAAGGAGGCACAAGAUAGUAAGUGUUGGAUUUUCAUCCUACCUUUACAUUCUGUGAUGGGGCACCAUUGCAAGCUCUCCUUACAAAGCUUUGAGCAGAGAGAUUAUCAGAACCAUGAGGUUUGUGGUGUAUUCACAACGGAACAGGCAGCUUAAAAAAGGAUGUACUAUUUGAUCAGCAGUUUCCUGCAUAUGGAAAUCUUAGGUCACCUUGCUGUUCCUUGAUGUCUAAAAUCUGCUAUCAGGCUUCUGCAAGGAAAUAUAGAUUAGUAUUCAGUGCCUUGUAGUAUUCUUUUAUUAAUAUUACUAUUUUUCAAUUUUAAGGACAAAAACAGCAGAACAGUGCUGUGAUGACAAGAAGCUGAGUGCUGAGCCCACGCAGGGCACUGGGGAGGGUCACUGGGAGUGAGUCAGGUUGAUGUCUGCUGAGAUGGUUUUGUUUGCAGUGUUUUCACACGUGUAUUCAAUAAGGCUUUUGUUUUACUGAAAGGAAGAGACACUAUACAGCAUUAUCCCGAUUUUGAAGUGACAGUGCCAAGGGGACUUCAGUAAAGGAUUUGAUGGCAAUUGAAUCUGAAAAGUAAAGCUUUGUAAUUGCUUAGUUAGUUUUGAAGUAAUGCUUAUAUUUAAGAUUUAUGUACAAAAACAGGCUAUAUCAACAGUAGUGAAGUGGUUUUGGGCCAAGUCUUUUUUAAAGCAACUUAUGAACAGAAGGUCAUUUCAGAUUUCUUUCUUCUCCUGAAAAGACACAAACACAAAUCCCACCUCGCUGUGUUCGUAUAAUAUGUAAUACAUCAUUAUGCUGCAUUUAGUAAGUGCUUGUACUUCCACAAGAAUAUCUGAGCUUUACUCUUGAUUAUAGUAAACUUCCCAAUGCAAGUAAAAGCAAUUAUUAUCCUCAGAGUUUCAGUGACCUGUUAGGAAGACAUAAGCUGUUACAAGACUUCUGAAGGCUCAUCUUACAGUCUGUAAAUCCCACCUUAAAAAUACAUAAUUUGGAGACUAUUGAGUCCUCUGAUGAUACUAUGGUAUUGAAUCAUCUUUAUAUAAUUGUGCUGGUGAAUAUAAAGUAUCAUUGUUUUCAGCAUCUUUCAUGAAAGCUGUUUUGACCUUCAGAUUAAAGGAUCCAUAUGGAUUUCCAAAUGAAAAAGUUGGAGCUCCUGUUUAAAACUUGAACUCCAGCUCGGCAUGAAGGCAUCAGAUGUGCUUCCACUUGAAAAAGCGUUGUUGUACCAGCAUAUAUCCCGCCUGAAUUUUUCUCCUGGGUAAAAUCUUAUAAAUGUGUGUAUCGUGCAUAAUGAGGAUUGGAGGUUAGCCGCUUCCAGUGAAUUCCCUUUCAAAGUGUAAGGAAGAUGCAGAGCAGCAAGGAGGAGAAAUCCAUUGGUAUUUGAGCUCUGUAGGAUGAAGAGGUUUGCUGCUGGGGGAAGAUCAAGAGGAGGCAGUAGGAAUAUUUUGGGCACUUCUGAAGGAGAGAUGGAGACCAUCUGGUAGAGAGGAUGCUUAAAGGAAAAGUGCCAGGACAGAGAUAAAAGUAAAGGGAAAGGAAAUAGUGACUGAGUAACAUCAAAGAGUGAGGCUGACUAUAGAGCAAAAAGGAAGACAUAGCAGUGACCCAACAUAGGCAAAUCAUAAUACAAAUGGUGGCACUGGGCGACGAAUCCAUAUGAAUCGGUGAAGGCUCGGGGGAAAAGCUCAGCAUUUUAAUUUCAGGAAAGUCUACAGGAAAGUGGUGUUGACAUCUUUGGAAGGCUUAUAAUUUAAAACUGAUGCAGUAAGCAGGGUUCCCGCUGCUUCAGAAAUACUGUCCUGGAGUCUAAUCCAGAUACUGUAACUACAGCAGAAUUUUAAAUGGAGAGAUGCCAAGAAGAAUGUUUCUUCCCUCAUCGGCAUCAGCAUCUUUUCAUUUGAAUGACUUUUAGGGCAUUAGAUGUUUCCGUUGAACUGCUUUCUAAGGCUCGUGUCCUGAAGCAUUGGUUGGUGUGUGGUCCUUCCCUGUGUUGAGCUGGAGCCGAUCUCAUGUAAAGAAAGGAAGAUGCUGGUUUUGCUUUUCUCCUGCUGAAGGAGAAUAACUUUGGGCCAGUCCCUUUCUCCUGCCAAAGUCUGAAAAACUUUUCUGUCAUUGGAAUUCCACUGAGAGUGGAGCAGUGGUAAGCCCCGUGGCUUCUAUGGGUAGAGCAGUACAGGCUAAGAGAGUCUGAUCAUCUCUUGUGCUUUGUUUUACGCCCAACCCUAAACAUGGUGAGUCAGGACAGGCGAUGGGCCUAAUUAUAAAGACUGUCUGUGCUCCUGCCUCUCUUACUCCUUCCCAUCUGUAUUUAGGAGGACUUUCUGCAUCCUAGGGGAACCGUGCUUUAGGAGGAUUUGAGAUCAAGGCCUGAAAUAAUCUCAUGGUUUUCUUCCUGCCUGCCUUUCUUUCCUUCUUAACAAAACAGGUGUGUUACUUUUUUUACUGAAGUCGGUCCAAGGAAAGGAAAAGAAGAAAGUACUUCCAGAGGGUAAUUAGUCCCAUCUUAAAACAAGUGUGUAAGACAGGUAGGAUAAGUCUCUCUCUGAAAGUGCCAAUCUGUCACCACUAUCUAUAGAAGGAGCCUUCACGAGUAGCUUAGAGUAGGUGUUUGACUUUUACACAGUUAAAUUUAGAGGAGAUGAUUGCCACUUUUUAAGUCAGUCAAAGUGCUUGUUUAUAAUUGAUUAACCAUUAUAGACUGAAGAGUUGUGAGAGAGAACAAAAGUAAAAAUAUAAUGCCAUUGAUAGAGAUAUCGUGUAAUACGGAAUAGCAGUAACAGCAAUUGCAGAUGGUUAACAUUUUCAUUCCCCAUUGUUUUUAUUUUACUGUUAAAUCUUCCCAGAUUUUAGGUCUUGUUUGAUCCUGUAGAAGGAAAAAAUUUCCCCUGCUUUAGUGUAAGCAAAAAACUGCUGAAAUAUUUGUAGGAUUAAGAAGUGAUUUGUCCUGGAAAUGUCAAUUCUUAUAUGUAGGGUCAUUAAUCCAUAAAAUGAAUUUGCAAACAUUUCUAAGUUCCCUUUCGUGUUGUUGGUGUUUUACUUGACAUGCUUCUGACUGCUCUCUCAAUGAAGGCUGCACUCAGAAGAUCCUGCAAGGCGUACACUGACAGUGUGUGGGACUUGGUUUUGCAUGUGUCUUGACCUGGCAUAUACAGUCUGUUACAAUGAAAUAAACUCACUUGUCAUUUAAGAGUAUUAAUCAUAUUUCAGGCUGUUGCCCAAGAAUUUCAUUGUGUACAAUGCUUUCACCAGCCAGAACCAUACUGCAGAAAGUAAAUAGAUAAAAUCACUUUCUCUAGUAAAAAUAAUUCUUGACUACAGCCUCGCUUGCAGAGUAGAUAAUGCUUGUAGAAAUGGCAGAUGCUCUGAAGGUUUGGAGUAUUGUGACAAUAAGAAUUUUAAACAAAGUUGGAAAAAGCAGAUGGUAUAUAUGGACGGGAAAUCCUGUGGUAGUUUUGAUUUUAUGCAAGGAAAAGAAGGAGUUCCUUAGGUCCAUAAAUCUGUUUGUUUGCAGUACUCAAACAGAGAUUUUCAUGAUCUUAGCUUUCCUUUCUUCAAAACGUUGCUUUCAAGUACAGAUGGGCCUAUAUACCACAAGUUUGGGAUCCAGAUUGGGGCUUGGACCUGACAUUCAUCAGAGCAUAAGCAUAUUUGAACCUAGCAUUUGAGGUCAGCCUCUUGUGGAGUUAACCACCUACUGAUUGAGUAGAUCUCUCCUAUAUGUCAAGGCAUAGGUGUAGAAAGUACAAUGAUUUUAUUUAACUUGAUCUGUAAGGUAUUUAAAUUUAAUUUGGAAGACUUCUCAUGAAGCAGGAGGCUGUAUUUAUAAUUAUUAUUGUGUCUGAAGGGUGAAAUUACAUAUGACAAUUAAAUAUGGUGGAUAUUAUAAUAAGAUACAUGCUUAAAGUGGUUUCCAAUCUAAAUGUGUUUGAAGUCAAUAGGAGUACCUACGGCAAAGUAUUCGGAUCCUGAUUUAUAAUCUACCACUUUUACCCCAGUAUGGUUAUUUAUGGAUAAAUUGACCUGUUCCUAGAAUAGAAUAUGAUAUGUUAGUAAAACUGUACGCCUAGGUGUGGAAAGACAAUUAGCCUAUAAACACACUGACUUCCUCUUUAGGUUGAGAACACCUCAUAUUUCCAAGACUAAUGGUUUCUAAUCUGUUUUUAAAUGUUCCAUUUGGAUAGUGAAGGCGUAACUAUCAAAACACUGUAAAAUCAUAAUGCCUGUGCAGCUAUAAAUUACUGUUUUCAAAAUGAGCUGGAGGUCUCCAACUUAUUCCCAAGUGCAGAAAAGUUAGAUAACAUAAAACUGCUCAGAAAUGACUAGAAGCAACUUUUCUGGCUUUUUCCAAAUGCUAGGAAAUCGUGGAUCUGCCCACUAACUCCCUAGCAAUGCCCAUAUGGAUAGCAAUAAAGCUAGUCCCAUAAAGAAUACUUGAAUUGAUCAAAAGCAUUUCAGAUUAGAGAUCAACAGAAAGAGCUGCGUUGCUUUUUGUUUGUUUGUUUAUUUAUUUAUAUUCUGGAAAUUUCUCUGAUACAAAAAAUAUCUGACUUAUUUUUCAUUCAUCAAAUUGUGGACUGCUUCAUAUGAGAUACGAACUGCAUGACCUGCUGAUGGCGAAGUGCUGCUUCCAUGGAAGAUGCAGCUUUAAACAAUAAGAGAAAGCAUCAACCCUCUCCUGCCAUAUUUUGAACUUUGGAGUGUGCACAAGGAUGGAAAAAUACAGAAGGAUGGAAAAACACAAGGAGUGGUGGGACACAAUGCAAAGUGAGUCUGAGCUGCCUUUAACUUCAGCCUUUGCACUGUGCCAAUACACCAGGAAGAUGCAGUUUAUUCUACCAGGAAUGCUGAUAUUGCAAACACCUAUUUAAACACAGAAGUGUUGGAGGUUUGAACAUCUUUUAUGAAUACUACACCACUGUUUUAAGAAAAGACAAAUACAAGGAGGGAGAAAACAGAACCUCUGGGAUUUUUCUUUUUCCCUACAAAGUGCUAUGGGUGAAGGCUGUGGAGAAAAAUCUUCCCUGCCAGAAGCUGUGUACAGCAUGGGUUUCCCCAGUUCAGAUUUGAACCUCCCACCAGUCGUGUGACCUUCGGGCUGUGGGUGAGUCUGUGAUGACUUUCUUCUGUCUACCCAAAAGCUGCAUCCCUAAUGCAUAAUGUCUUCCCAGCAAUAUAAAAUAUCCCGGGUUGGGAUAUUCUAUGGAGAAACAGAUAUUCUGCUGUGAAAGACUCAAUGCAAUUGCAAUUUUUUGACAAAUGGAGUUUUUCUGAUCUUCCUGGGAGUUGUAGUGGCCAUAGCUGGUCUGAGUGCUCAGUGUUAUGAUGUGUUCUUCUGUGAUUGACUUGAAAUUUGUACCUGAGGGGUUUGGAGUAAGAGACUGAUGUUGGUAUUUCUUUCCUUAUGAGAUUUGGUGUUGCUCUUGUUCUUAGGAAAUCCUCACCUAGAGGCGAGAGUACCUUCAGAGAUCUAUUCCCUGCUGCUGAGCAUGGAAAUCUCAAUAACUAACUUUUUUGGAAGGGGUUCUGUUCAUAUGAGCUUUGCUUUCAUGUACUUUGGGAUUGUUUCCUGUAGUUCAGUGUUUCUGCAGUGAAGUGACAAUGCAAUCUAAGAGAUGGUCCAUCUCCCCACAGAACACCUUUCUCUACCUUUGUGCUUUCCUUUGGUCUCUAUAGUUUCCUAUUUUUUUUUUUUUUGGUAAUCUUUCAUCUUUCUCAUUUCAAGUGUCCACUAGUUUUGAUCCUUACCAAAGAGCUUAUUUUUAUUUCUCAACCCUUUUGGUCUCAGAUAAGGGGAUUGAUCUUAACACUUUGAAAUCAGCAGUCAUUUGACCAUGGGCUUUGGAGACAGUUAAGCUCCCGAGGACCAAAACAGUGAAUACAGAACAGAAGCAGCCUUGAUUUAAUAUUGUGAACCUAAUAAGCCUAAUCCUCUGCUCUCUGUUUUUUUUUUUUCUGCUUGGACAUGGCCUACUGUACAGCAUUUCAGGUUUGAGGGGCAUUGAGAGAAAUCACCGUCACUUUCCAGAGCAGACAUCAAAGGCAAACUCACUUUUCCCAUUGCUUUUUAUCUUCCUUCUAUUUCUGAUGCAUACUUCAUAUUUUUUCCAUGCUGCCGCUCCAAUUUUUGCCCACUUUUGAUUUCUCUAUUAACAUUAAUUAGGCUCAUGAGCUUGAUCACCAGGUGGGUUUUCCCCAAGCUUCCACUGCAAUACUUCCCAUCAGCAGCAGACUUGUAAGGGAAUUUUGUUAAGCUGCAGAUAGGAGCCUAAUGUUAUUGGAUACGGAGUGUUUCAGUGCUAAGUGUGUUUUAUAUCAGUUGAAUUUGCCAGGAAGCAUUAUUGGCUUGAUUAUUUUUAAGCAGACAGGCUCGAGGGCCCUUGACCAGCAUCGGGGGGCAAUGAGAGAAGAGGGCCGUUAGCCAGGGGAAUGAUUCAUACCUCUGGAGCUCACCAAGUGCUCGUGUGUCUCAGGGAAGUAGCUCUGCAUCUUCCAGCUGAGGAAAAUGCAGAGAAGGGGGGGAAAAAAAGCCCUAAAAAAAAAAAAAAGAAUGAAAGAAAGAAAGAAAAAGAGAAAAGUAAAUAAAUCCUUGGAUUCAUUUCUGGAGAAUCUCAGCGCAUGUAAAGUCAGCUGCUAGGAAGGAAGAUUGGCACACACCUUUUGGACAUUUUGUGCAUGGUUUUCCUGGGCAGGUUCUUCCAGCGUUAAGUUUUUCCUGUAUUGAAUGUUAAGUAGCAUAAAAUACGAGCUGUCACGGGGUGAGCUGCAGCUUUUGUAGCCUUUGUUUUGUGAUGAUUUGCAUAUUCAGAAUCUGCCUUGGGUCUUCUUGUUUUUAUCCUCCUUCUUUUAAAACUGCAUUUACCUGAAGAAGGGCUUCAUUCUGAGUGCACCAAAUAAGCGUUUUCUCUGCAGUUGACUUUAAUCCGACCAAAAGAAUGAACACUUGGAGCAGAAAACCUUCUUUGGGUCCUACAGGGCAUUAGAACAUCUCAGGUACUGGCUGCUGCUUUAAUAAAAGGAUAGGAUUUCCAUUUACUUCAGGCAGGCUUAAUGUAUUGUUCUUGUAGUGAGACAGUCAGAAUGAGUCAGGAGCCAAAGAAUACACUUUAUAGACACAAAUAAUCGUAAAUUCAGAAUGUCACCUUUAGGCAGAGGCAUUUUUAUUAUUGUUAGUGGAGCUGCUGAGUAGGUUUGAUGUUUUAUUCUCUUGAGUACUAAAUGUUCCAGAGUACCACAGCCCUAUCUUUAUCAGGCUCACAAGGAGGGAGCACAGCCAAACUUGCUUCCUAUACUUCUCUAUGAUUGAUAGCAGAUGGCAUGCUUUAAAAUAAACCUAUCCAUUAGCAGUCCUCAGUGUUUUUACUCAAGGCAUUUACAACUGUCUCACCCAGAAAACACAUUUGCUCCGCAAGCUCGCUUCAGUCUGCAACAGCUGUACAGGUGCAAAUCUUUCAUUAACUCUUAAACAGUGGUGAAAUAAAAGUUGCACUGUAUUUUAUUUUUAGUGGAGAGGUUGUUUCUCAAAGGAGGAGUGCAUUCUAUUAUUCUCCCUUUGCAUAUGGCAGAGGUUCAUGUUAACUGAUGCAAAGUCAGAAUAUUUUUCUUCUGUCCUCCUUCAAAUUUUUAGGGUGAGACAAAUGUGGAUGUUUGUAGGUGUACUCUAAAUGGCAAUACAAGGGGAUUGUAAGUGGGGGCUGGGAUUCCUGGGGUCGCCCAGCUCCUCACCUCAAACAGCCCUGUGGGGGGUUCCUUCAUGGUACCCCCACCACUGCUUCAUCCUGGGGCUACUUUUUUUCUGUUCAUUUGGAAAAUGCAGGGUCACACACACACACACAGAUAUGCAUUCAACCCGAUUCUGAGCUCCCUUCUCAGUAAAUACAUUACUAAAAUCUGUCCCUGUAUUCACUUUACUUUGCUUAGAUUUCUAUGCAGUAGCCACAGAGGAUAUUAAAAUUGGCCUGGCAUUCCUGCCAAUACAACGAACCCUCAAGCACCUCCCAAAACAUUAGUGCACCAGCAGAUAGACCUUUAAAAUAUUAGUAGCAAACCUUAAAUAUUAGCAUUUAGCAUUAAUAUUAGACAAGACCUUAUAAUAUUAGAGCCAGAUAAAACAGUAUUAGCAGGGGUAUAGGAGUCAUUAAGCAGAAUAACCAUCACUGACUAAAUGGAUGCUGAAACUUUUACAUGCAAACCAGUGUAGAUGAUAGGGACUUCAGAGAGACGAGAGGAUCCUUUCAUUUAAAAGGAGGUUGUAGAGACGAAGGUUAGGGAUUUGAAAGCUGGUAAAUAAAACAACACAGCGGGACAAGUGAUAUGGAAUGUGCCAUCUCGUUAGCCACAAUCACGUCCCGUGUUAUUUUUCUUAAGCUGAAAAGAUAAAACAAGCAGACAGGCAAUAUUCUGUUGCAAAUAAAUGGAAAUUGGGGCAUUUUUUUGUAUAAAUCUCGAGUUGCAGGAGGAAAAUACAAAUGCGUUCUCAGCACUGAAGGUCUAUGUAGGCUAACAGAGGUGCUACAGUAAUUUGGCAGGAUGGCGUGUGGCUCGCAUGCCCUUUUGCUGGCAUGAUGAGCAAAGUCUGGGGAACCUGAGCUUGGCACCAUGAAGGAGGGGUUGAAGCAGCCCAGGGUCUACAUAGAGCAGUGCUCCGGAGAGCAGCCAUCACCAUAGCUCAUGUCAGCUCGUCCCGCGAGCACCUGGAGGAUUUGGUGCUAAAUGAGAUGGGGGGAGAAAAACAAGGCCAGCUGUAGACAUAAGAACUUUAAGAGCAUCAGUGCUUGCUUCCAGCUAAUCUCUCCUGAUGACUCCUGUAAGCAGGCGAGGCUGGUCGGUGCUGUUAAUUAUUCAAAGCCCCGCACCAGUUUCAUAGCUGAGUGGUGUAAGAGGAUGUGUAGUGUCCCCAUUUCUUAGUCUGUCUGGGGGAAAGGCACGAAACGCAGCUUCUCCUGCCAUCCCUGCCUGCCAUCCCGCUUUACAGGUGGGAAAUGUGAGCCGGAGAGAGGCUGCAGCCAUCCCCAUCCCUUGGCCAUCUGGCAUUGUGAAACCUCACCUGUCUCUGUAGGGCCUGAUUUGCUGAGUGCAGGGAAGGCAUCAGGAGAGUCAUUCUGUAUCUUAACAUAAUGAAUGCACUGCUUUGAGGUAUUGUGCCCUACACUUUUGUGUGCAGAAUAAUCCAAAAGAUAUCCAAAAUAUAUGAUAUCUCCAUUGUUAAUGCUCCAUCAUAGGAAGAAAGGGAGGGAAGGGCACAUGCUUCAAGGUUUGCAUUACGUCCACAAUGUCCUCAGGCAGUACAAACAGCACGCUUUGAGAAUUACACAUAUUUUCUCCAUUUAUCACUUGCAUUAAGACAUAGAGUGGAAAAGGGGUGGCAGUGGAGUCAUAUGCAGCAUUAAAUACAUAUUCCUUAUGUUGUUUGCUGUCCCAAAGAGGCUGCCAAGGCAUUUUAGUACAUCUUACUGUAUGAUGCAAAGCAGUUGGAAAAAAGUAGAAAAAUAUCCAUAGCAAAAAAAAAAAAAAAAAAAAAAAAAAAAAAAGCAAUAAGAUCUCUUAGAUCUGUACUAGAAACAAGUACCAGUACAAUGCUGAUAUGUCAAUUACAUGCUUUAUCUACAUACAGCCAAUGUACCUGCCAUUGCAGCUUCUUUUAGUUCCAUUAGAGAAGGCAACAUGUAUUUUCUUAUGACUUUUGGAAUUGCUGAUUGACUUUUUUUUGUGAAAUUGAGUUUCUGUUUGGAGCCCAGAUCACACAGAGCUCCUUUAGCUUGGAGGUGGGAAGUGAAACCACUCAACUUGUGUUGCGCUUAGAGAUGACUUCUCUGUUAGCUUCUUUUGGUCCACUGGUGCUGUGGGGGUGGAGGUACCCAGACUGAAAUGAUUUGCAGCCUUCCAAAGGGGAAAAGUAACUGUGCAUGGAAUAACCGUGUGUAAAAUAGCAUCUGCAAUGCUCAGAGUCUGGUGUGUUUGGUUGCCACUGACCUCAGUGUGGCUAUUUCCAGGAGUCAGGGUGCACAGGUGCCUAAAUAUCUACAGGCAUUGGCAUGUACCAUCCUCCAGAGAGGCUAGGAAAGGUUUUCUUAUUUCAAUGAGAGCCACAUUCAGCCUCAAAAUUAAGCAUAUUCUUAAGUGCAUAUAUGAGCUGGGGGCCAUAGAACACAGCAUAUUAAGAUACCACACAUCACUGCAAAUUAUGUAGGAGCUAUACAGUAUAAUUCAAUUUAGUAAAAAAAAAAAAAAAAAGGUCCUUUUAUCCCCCCUUCAAACCUCUUUAUUUAUUAAUGAGCUAGAAAGAUGUGACGUUAUUAAGACAUGAACCAAUUUGCCCUGGAUGCCAUCCAGCACACCAGGAACCUGUGUUGCUCUGUAAUAGCCCUUUUUUCUGAAGGAAACACUAAGUCCCAGGCCCACCCCAAGCUGGUGAGUGCUGGAGGAGGGCCUAUGGCCUGCAGAAGGGGAGGGUGGAGAGGGGCCAUGCUUAAUCCCCAGUAGAUUUAGCCUUUUGGUGAGUAAGAUGGAUUUCUGAUGUUGGCCUCCAUGCCAUUCAUAGCAGUGUUCCCAGUAGUAAACUUGUGCCUGCACUAAAAAUCCCCCUCUCAUGCCCCCACUUCCUUGCCAAAACUAAGCUCAACUAAAAUAAAUCAUAUUUUAGGAAGCUAAUUGUGCAGCCAAAUAGCAGAAAGGUAUUGAAAAACUGUUGUGUGCCUAACAUUAAAUGAAUUUACAUUGGCAGUAGGGAGCAUGCAUAACAAAAAUAAAUACAGGGACAUGGCAAAAGUGUAAGCAGUGGAAUUUAAACAAAAAAAUGUAUGUAAUGCCAAACAUUGGGAAUGGUAUUCAGACUUACUGCAGAACUAAUAUUCUAUGCAGUCACUGCACACAAUUUUUUACAGUUAAAAUACAUUCUGAAUGAAGUUUGCUCUUUUAUCAGUUUAUUGUAUUUCUUGGAAAAUUGAAACGUGUCAGGAUAUGCAUUUUUCUCCCUGCUCCUGAAGUGUGUAUAGGUCCCUUCACCAACCUGUGGGCAAUACGUUAAGAAAAACAAAGGGGGAAAGCUCUGGCAUAGGCUGCCCUGUAGAGGGGUCACCGUCCCUAGAGGUGUUCCAGAACCGUGGGGGUGUGGCACUGAGGGAUGUGGUCAGUGGACAUGGUGGGGGUGGGUUGGUGUUGGGCUUGGGGAUCUUAGUGCUCAUUUCCAACUUUAAUGAUUCUGUGAAAAAAAUAAAAUGAGGAAGAAAAAAAAAACCCAAACAGUUUUUGGAGAAGAUUUUAGAAGUUUCCUGAUGGAUCGGCAUCCUUGAGAUUAAACAUUCCCAUAUGUAGGUUGACAUUUGAAAAUGUAAGUCUUAUGAAAGAUAAGAUGGAAAUUAUGAGAAAUGCAGCCUUAAAUAUUUGGAAGCAUGACUUCCUGGUUUGCAUGGCAGUUGGCAAAACUUUCAGGGGAAAGAUGCAUGUGGUAUAGGGCACUCAUUUGCCUAAAAGUUUCCUCCUAUCACCUAAUGUUUUGGUGCUCAUCUCUUCCACACCUUUGGAGGAGAGCUGCAGCAUCCUCUCUGCGGUGCUUUCAACCCCUCAGACAGAUGUUUUAGAUCAAUUGCUCGAAACGGAUCAGUUUAGCAGUCAGAAAACACUGUCAGAAAAGGUUUGUGGUAGAGAAGACAAAACUGUGAAAUGAAAUUGAACUUUUAUCCCCAUUUGGAUGGGAACUGUGCGUGGCUGGAGAUCCCAUGAGGAUGAACACAGUGACCUAUCGUGCUUUGAAAAACCAAACAGAUGACAGGGCUCAUCUGCAGCCAUCAAGCAACAGCAGCUUCUGAGAAAUGGUGUGACCACUAUCAUGCAGUGCAGCAGGAACUAAGGGAAAGAUAAUCAUGGGAAAGAGGAAGGUCCUCCUGCAGCAAGGCAAGAUGAUGGUGAUCUCCUGCCAGGCUACAAGUAGCACUGCUGCCCUUGCUGUGAAGGUGUGACAACACAAGGCAUGCCGUUGCUGCUGGACAUUGUUUGAGCCAUGAUUAAUGUGCCAGCAGUAAUGGGUGUCAGCAUUGUCUGGCUGCAACUGGCACACCUUAUUUCUGAGAACUCAGGGUACGGAGGCUGCUGUGGUCACUGUGGCAACCAUGAGCCCUUCAACAAGACAGAGAGAUCUCAACCCAAACCGCUAUCUGUCUGCCUCUCCCUGGGUAUGUGUCAGCACGAAUCUCCAAGUGUACUUUCUUUCCCUUAGAAGGUGUUGUGUGCUGUGUCCCGUGGUGACCUGCACAUAUGCUGAGCUGGAACUCUGCUUGGCACCAUUCCUCAGCCUAUCCAUGUUGCAGUGCAAUCGUAAUAUCAUGAGAUGGCUUGGGUUGGAAGCGACCAUAAAGAUCACAUAGUUCCAACCCCUUGCCGUGGGCUAUGUGCCCCCUACCAGCUCAGGCUGCCCACGGCUCCAACCAACCUGGCCUUGAGCACCUCCAGGGAUGGGGCAUUGUCAUGUCUCCAAUGGCAAAUGUGUUCCUAUCAUGGACUGUGCCUCUGCCCCUCCAUCACUACUGUGCCCUGCAUGCCUGUGCCACUUGCUUUUUGGUCGCAUUGUACUUUGUUUCAAGAUGUUUUGCAGCAUGUUGCCUUUGCCUGCUUGCCUCCCUCCGUCUCCGUGCUGGAUGAGUUUGCAUUGUGUGGUGUUUUCCUCUUCAUUUAUUGCAAACAAAUCUGGUCUCUGCCAUUUGUUUACUCUUAUACUCUGUCUUUAUGCCUUGGUAUGCAUUUUUAAUUAGAUGCGCUUCAGUUCUUUCGCUGCUUGUUAACACUUUCGGAUGGAAAGUGCGGUCCCCACCAGCUCUGCUAGUAUUCUCUGUGUGGAGGAAAUGCAGAUUUGUUUCUCCUGCCCCUGAUUAUCAUCCAGUACCAAGACUCGGGCCCCAGCCAGCCUGCCUGCUCAGACCCUAUGUUCCUACUGGGGAUGUUAAGAUGGUUGCCCCUUCUCAGCCAGUGUAAUUGAGGGUGCUUUACUCCAAAAUACUCUGCAUACAGAGAAGGAGUGUUUGGGCUGUUUGCUUGGACUGUUUUCAGUCCUCGUCAGCUCCAGUGUGGAUGUGUGACAUAGAGGAGUCCUGGGCAGAGCCCGCGGUGUGUGCAAAUCAGCUGCGUGCUGUCCCAAGCCCUUCUGCACACUAUGAUCAGGAGCAUCCUGGGGAUGUUGGCCACAGAAUAAACAGAGGAUGGAUGGGCCUGGAUAAGGAUACUGAAACCCCAAGCACAAGGCAGUAUUCACAAAAAGGCAUCUUUCUUGAGUGCCACUAUUGAUAAAGCAUCAUUUCUUUUUCUUAAAAAUAGUGUGAGCCCAUUUGUGCUUGUUCUAUUUUGUUCUGCUUCUGUAUCUGACUCAUGCCAUGGGCAGGGGCCUUCACCCUCCCUAGUGCUCUCCUAGACCACCAGCUUUCUGGAGAUGGUGUGGGAACUGAGAUGGAAAAUCUUGACCCCACUCCACCCUUCCCUUCCAGUUUGCCUGCCCUGCUGAAGCAUUCACUCACCUCCCUGUUUUGCCAGAAUUCGUGUGUUCACCAGAAUUUAAGUUCCUGAGAGGGAUGGCAGGACUGAAAAGAGGUGAAAAUGUCUCUUCCCAUCUCUGAGAGUGUUCCCUGACCCGACUCUCUGACUGGGGGCGAGGUUGCCAGAGGUCAAUAUCCACUUCAGUGAGUAGAGAGAUCGAUAUCUGCUGAAGCCAAUGCCCAGGAUUGUUUCCUCUUCCUUGCCAGUGCUAUAUUUUAUAGAGAACAGCCAAGAAAUAUUUCUCCUCCCUUCUAAGGAGAAGAAGGGGGAGGAAAAAAAAGAAAGAAAAAAAUGGAGAAAAAGAAAAAAGCUUUGUCUUCAUACUUUCUUCCCCCAGGAGGGCAUUGCAUUUAGCCUCUGCUCUGCUUUUUGUUAUCCAUUUGCAUGGCACGAUGUUUGCUUUGGCCAAUAGGGCAGCGCUGGCUCCUUGACUGGGGUGGGGUUCUGCCGGUACCCAGCGGUGUGCAGAAUGGGGACAUUCAGCCCUCAGCCCUAGGUAUUUUGGGGAUGCUGGGAUGCAGAGGACAUCCCAGAUGGUGCGGUUUCAUGGGGAGUGCCAUGGUGGUGGGAGCAAAGUGCUCAGUGCUGAGCCUGAGUACUCCAUGGAGCCACUCCAUGGAGCAACAUCGUGUUGGCAGGAGGAUGAGGUGUAUGAGCUAAUAGGGCUUUUCCAUUUUAAUGUCUAUUCAAAAAUGACUCUUGGUUGCUGUUCUCAAACUCAGCACCAACCGUUCCUUACACCACACAUCAGAUCUUUCUUUCUUUUCUGCCCUUUGCUUCAUGGAGAAGGCUUUAAAGCAAACAAACACCAAACUAUGAGAAACCAAGGGAAGAUGCAGACUGGCCCACUCGUUAGUGCCGGAGUGUGGAAACUAUGAAGACUUCUUUUUUUAUUACCAAUGCUGGAAAGCACAGUCACCGAGUGGGCUGGAAUACAAGUUAUGCUACACGCAGUAGUUAAAAAAACCUGCAAAAAUGGGUGUAACCCGUGGCUGUGGUACAACUGGCCUUUCAGCCCCCACUUGAGAUUCGUCCAUCCCAGGGGGAAACUGUGGUUUGGAAGAACAGUGUACAUUUAAUUUCACUCGGAGAACUUAUUGGAGUUGGCACUUCAAGAAAGACUCUGAAGUAUAUUUUUUGUCAUGAUGAGUGGCCCCCUCACCACUGCAUUUGAUUGUGUUGGAAGCAGAAAAGUUAAAUUCUUAUAAAAUGAUGAUUUACAAUCCCUGAUGAUCCAGGUAGGGCGCGCGGAUUGCGCCAGCGUGGUUAUGGGACUCCAAUCUCAUCCUCUCUCAUUGCUGUGAGAAAAUAAAACCGAAAUGUAAAAAAGCUGAAAACACAUCCUCUGAUGGCUCGGGGAAUUUUCUUACUCAUACGUUAUCUUUCCUAGUAGUUUAAGUUAUUUUGUCUCCACUAAAACCCAAAGCAAAACACUGCCCUGACACUUUCCCCUUGAUUUCUGAUCUGCGGCAGCCAAAUUUAUUUUUAUCUCGUGUCGUCUUUUCCCCCAUGGUUAUGCAAAUCCUCGGAAUAAGGGGCAAGGGGAAAAGCUAAUUUUAAAGCCAGUAAAUUCCAGUGGGAGAUUUCUUCAGUCGCUCCAAGCGGGACUAUCCUGGGUGCUGUUGCAGAGCUGUGGCUACCUCCAAAUAACACAGGGGUAGGUGCCAAGUGGGGAGGCUGAAUAUUUUCCUUGUAGACACAUAGCUUUGCCCACAGGACUGAAGUCUCUUGCCUUAAUGCUGCAUUAAGCUUCUCUGGAAGUACAAAGCUGACUUAGGAGGCAUGUGUUGAUGAAAUGUACCUCAUUGCAAUCGGCUGCUGAGUAGAACCUCGACAUGGAGGGGUUUGGCAAUGGGUGAAGGUGGGGCUCAUCAGAACUAUCUUCAGGAAAGUGUGGGGCAUUGACACCUCAUUUCUUAUUCCAGCAAACUUUCUCUGUUUUGGCUAUCACGUUCUAUAUUUUGAUAUACUUUUAGUCUUUCUUUCUCACUCUCUUUUUUUUCCCCUCCUGAACAGCGGAUGUAUUUUUAAAUAAUAAAUUCCAUUUUCUUCUUCAUUUCUCUAUCUUUUUCCCCUUAAUGCAAGCUUUACUCAAAUCUGUUUAAAUCCACAUUUAAAUCUAAUGUACAGUAAGAGAUACUCCACGAUUUUCCAGGCUGAAAAAUCCAGGAGUGUUCACACUGGGAUCUGCUUUGUGAGCAAACUCAAGUGUGUAUGCAAGUGUUGGAGCUGUAGUCUGUAGUUCAGUUUUACUGAAAGUACUGGAGGCAAUCAGAGUAUAUGGCAAGCAUAACGGCUUCUAAACAGCACUGUGCUCUUGUUCACAGUGCUGGUGCUGGGUUAGUUGAUGCAAUUCAUGGUCAAUGUCUGGAAUCACAAUCAGAUCCUCUUUGCUCCCCCUUUGAGUGCCGUUGCAAUACUGCAGCAAAUUAACCAGAGACUGCUGUGGGGCUGAAGUUUCUGUAUCCAGCAAAACUCAUGAGCCCCUCCUGGUGUGAUGUGUCAAGGGGAUGUAAGCAUAUCUGUAAAUGCUGUGUGGUUUGGGAAGUGUUUAAAUACCCAUGGAGGCCUUUCUCUGUUCUGGGGAAGGGAAGAUGAGGAUGUGAAUACUGAUGGAAAUAAUUUAGGUGCAAGGUCCCAGGUUUGGAAAAUUUGGCCCAUAAAAUGCAUGCACUAGGGGUGCUUGUGGUUGCAUAAGAUAACAAAAUGCACAAGUCAUGUGGAUUAAUCUCUCGAGUUACUGCAGGGGCAUAUUGUGUUCAUGUUCGUGUAGCCUGAUUAAGCUGCGUAUGAAUUUACAUCCCAGCCUUGCAGCCUAAUAAACCUAUAUGGUUUAAAAUGCACGGCGGGGGCUUUGUGCGUAAAUUCUGCUCUCACGAAGCAUGGUGUGCACGUCUGACUCUUCUUAGAAAGAGCUGAGCGCGUCCCAUUCCGUCUGCAAAUGAGUGUCUGAAUGCCAAAAUAAGUAGGAUAAAUAAUUUGCUUGAAAUAUGUGUUUGGGAGCUUUCAACCUAGAUGCUCUCUUCCAAACGCUCAGCUCUUCAUUUGCAAAUUCUCCGGUUUGUUCAAACUUUUGGACUCCAUUUGAUCUGGCUGGAAAUGAGAGCACAUCAGGCCUCGUACGUAAUCAGAAAAUGUCGUGUGAAAAACGAAGACUGCUGGGAGUAGCAUCUUUGUGGGAUUCCAGCUAAACCAAACUCGUUCGGUGCUGCUCCAGCCCUGAGCAAACCGGCCUCAUGUCUGCAUGUGCAGCCUGGGUUACUCCUGAGAGCGGCUCCGGGAAAGAGUUAAGCCUGUUCUCCUCUCCUAGUUGGCAGAAAGUUUGCAGUUUAAAAUUACAUACUGACUCUGGUGUAGAGACACAAGAAAUUAUAGAGCAGACACUGUCCAGGACAACGUAUAAUUUAAAAUGUACUAAAGAAUGUAUACCACAUGGCAAAGUAAGUGAAGUGCUUCUUCAAAUAUAAGUGUUUUGCAUAGAAAGGCUGUAAUUAUCCACUCCUAGGGAAAUGUUUGCAUUCAUUCUAAAUCAAUAUUUACUAUUCAUCUCUUGUGUUCAACAAAACAAGGAUUUAACAUUUUUUUGUUUUAAUGAGGUACUAAAACUACAAUAAUGCUACAGUGUAAUUGUCUUGAUACAAAAUAUUGCUAAAUUGUGUUGCUAUUUCGGGAGCGAGCAGUUUUUAAAAGGAGGGGGUAUCCCUGUUUGUGCCAUGUUCCUGCAGUAACACAAUCCAAGCUCAGCCAAGCAGGGCGGCUCACCACUUCCAAAGCGGAGUUAAGCCGCCUCUCUGUUAAGGCCCUUAACUGGGAUCAUUCGGGUGAGUCCUCUGUCUCCCCCCGAAAACAUCAACCUCUUUAUAAUGAUUCCUUUUCAGCUGGCGUCUCGACAACAAGCAGAAGAAUGCCAUUUCUGUUUCGGGUUUAAGGUUGUUUUCUCCCCUCAGCAUCCUUCAGAGAGGCAGCAAGAGCUGAGCGGGUGGUAAUUGGGCUGCAGCCACCCCUGCACGCUGCUCCGAACCUGUUGGUGCAAAUGGGGUUGCCUGAACUUCACCUUCCAGGAAGAAUUUGGGGAUGUUCUGUAGAACGGUGCCAGAGCUCUGUCCUUUAUCUUUUUUUUUUUUUUUUUUUUUUUUUUUAAUGCAUUUUUAUGCAUUUCCUGGGCACUGCACAGUGUUGAAGCGGCCCUAAAAUCAUACAGGGGCAAGCAGUCCUCUCUGCAGGUGAGAGUAUGCUGGUGAAGUAAGAGCACGUGAGGAGGGGCAGAGCUUUUGGAGGAGCACCACUUUUAAUCACAGCCUUGCAUCUCUGCUGUGCUGUGAUUAAGAGGAUGCCCUUGCACCAAGCUCUUUCUCCUUGAAUUUACCUGACAUGUCUUAAGAGAGGUAUCUCUCCAACCACUCUAACUUCAAAAAAGAGAAACCACACCCCAUGAGCAUGUACUUCUGGCAUUGAUGUGGCUCCACGUGAAUCAAAUCAUAUAACUGGAAAGACUUUGUUUGGAAAAGCCUUUAAAAUCCUUAAAAAAAAAAAACAAAAAAAAAACAUUACUUUUUAUGCUUACGCUCUACCCACCAGGCUCUGCCCUCCUUUUCCCAACACUAAAUGCUUCCACUUCUGCUGCUAGAAAUCAUGGUACAAAUGUGAGCUCUUGAGUGAAUUUCAUUCUUCUGUUCAAGAAGAUAGCUUCGUUUUCUUUGUUUCUUACAAAAGAAAAAAAAAAUCUGAAGUCAUUCUUCCAAAAAAAAUCGUGCACAUAAAUAGGGUGAAUAGCCCUGAGAGAAGAGUGCUCUCUUUCUCUAGCAAACGUUAUUGAAGCUGGUGUUUUAAUUCUCCAGAUAUCUCUUGGUGUUCAGGGUAACAAAAGGCUGUGUAGUGCCUAAUCAUUCAGCAGCGAUCCAGGAAAAAGCAGAAGGUUAAGAGCAAGUUCCUAAAGUCUGUAAAAUCAAUGGGACGCUGGAAAGGGAACUGAAGUGUACCAGAAGGGACCUCUUGAGGGUCAUUAAAAAAAGCAGAAACUGAUUAUGAACAGAGCUUUUACCCAAAGAACUGGAGGGGGCCAGCAAAACCAUUCUGCUGCACUCCAGUUAAAUGUCUAAUAGUGGUGACAUUUUCUACACAGCCCAUAAAGGAUAAUGAAGAUGGCUUUGAUAGCUUUCAAGAUAGUUGUUCUUGUCAGUGUUCACAAAAACAUGACAUGAGCAUGCGCUAAGAGCAUGCGGGUUGAGGUGAUUGCACCAAGACUGUGAAAGGGAAGAUGGCAACCCAAUAUUGGGUCUUCCACCUUUGUAUUACGCCCUAUUACACAAGAGAAAAAAAUUGUGUCAGCCUAAAAAUGCAAUGGAAGUGGCAACAGUGACAAAGCUCAGUGUUGUGCUUAACCAACAUGGUACCUCACCUUGGUGUGGUGGUUAUGUGCAGAGAGGUAGCAAUGUUGGGCGAUCUCACAAACAUCAGCCUAGAUUCUCUCUCGCUCCAAAGCAGAUGAGAAAUAAGAUUUUGAUCUAAAGCUUAUCAAAAUCCCUCAUCGUCAGCAAAGUUUGGAUCAGCACCUCAUAACUUUCUGCUCAUUUUCUGUGCUGGGAAAAAGCAACCUGCAGGAAGUCUGUCCCAUGGCAUGUUUGUGCUAUUCCUGUUUCUGACCUCAAUCUUCUGUGAGAUUUUGGUGAAUUGCAGUUUUACUAUGAUGUACGGGAACAGUUAAAUCAUGGCCUGAACCUCUGAUUGAUCAUCUGAGGCGAGCACCAAGUCAGCUGCAGGGGCACAGGUGAACGCAAUUUCACCUGAGUGACUGGAAGGGGUGGAGCCUGGCUGCACCCCUCCUAGACCCCAUUUAAGGGCUGACUCCCAAGGAGGAUGGAUAUCUAUCUGGAGAUCCUUCCUCUUGGAGCCCUUCUAUGAGCCCAGGAUGCGGGUAAGAUCUUUAUUUCAUUUCUGCUUUGUAAUGCGAUAAUCUCUCUGGUCCAAUAUCUGUAUACCUGUUUGCCAUAUGCUAUGAUUUAUUUUCCAAAAAAAAAAAAAAAAAAAAAGAAAAAGGAAAAUUAGGGUAAACUCGCAUAUCUUACUGGAAUGCUCUAAAAAAAUAUUUGUUAGAAAAUAUUUGAAAUAUCAGUGGGAUGAUGCUUUAGUUCGGGGUGAUAUUGUUCAUCUUAAAAAAUAAGUAGCUAGUUCGUCUUCAGUUUUGGUCUACAGUGAAGAUGUGUUGGAAAAAAUAACAGAAACUUAGAGUAAAAAUCAACUUUGAGUUCUUUGUACUUCAGAGGAAGCAAACUUUUUUUAUAGAAAUAGAUAUUCACAGGGAUGAAUUGCAUGUGAGUCUGUUUACUAGUGGAAAAGCUGAAUUGUGAAACUUCUGUGUCACUGCUCUGUGAUUCCAACUAUCUUCAAUUAAGAGAAAAAAAAUGCAGGAAAAUCAGGUGGAAGGAAUGCAUGGAAAUUGAAGUCAAAGAAAAUAUUUGUUGUGGCCUUGGUAAAGUGAAUUUUCUAAGCUGAAGUAGCUUUUAAGCAAUUAACAUCUGCUGAGUGAAAUUACCGAGUGACAUGCAGCCCCAGAUGGAGGACUUGAACAGCCAGUGACCAUCUGGAUUUUGGUCUUUGCACAGAGCACGCUCUGUUCUGGCUCUCACCUGGCCUGUGGACAGCCCUCUAUCUGCCUCUCCUGCCACCGUCAGCCUUGAGUCAUGGUGGGGAGACCUGCAGGGAUGGUUCCUCUGCUCACAUCAACUCCAAAGAUACUCGAAUUCCCCAGAGAUAUAAUCACUGAUGACUUUGACCUUUGAGUUGUUGCCUUGACCCAGUUUUCCAAAAGGAGAAAAACUUACUGGGAUAAAAUCCACCUUUGAGCCAUAAGGGUCUUGAUACACAAUGGUUUCCAAUGAAACAUAUGGUGUGGGAGUCUUGGCAUCUGAAAUGCCAAGAAAAUCAGAUCUUAAAGAGAGAAUUUUGUCAGCAGGCUUUCAUAUUAAAAAAAAAAAAAAUAUAUAUAUAUAUAUAUAAAAUAUAUAUAUUAAUACAAUUACCUUCCUUAGAAGGUGUAAAAGAUGUCAGGCCCAACCACAGGGACAAUUCACUGACAAAAUUCAGUUUUUAAAGUGAAACUAUAGUUUUUUUUUAAAUUCAAUGAAUAAAAAUCAUCUGACAAAGAGUUUUUGACUACUCUGUAUCUAAAAAUGAGCCAGCUUCAUUUAGUCUAUUUAAAAAUUGUGUAUUCAUACUGCUUGUAUGCCAAGUUCAGCAUGAUGGAAAUGAAAAUGAUUGAGGUAUAAACCCUUGGAAAACAGGGUUUAUAAUGGAAACAGUAAUUGACUUCUAACUACCGCAUCAAAAAUACAAUACUAUAAUACAAAGCCUAGCUCUUGGGAUCUCAGCUCCCUUCUAACCUCAGGUUGGCAGAAGAACACCUCACCACAAAGCUAACUAAUGUUUAUAGCUUGUUUUUUUUCUCUUGCAAAAGGAACAUGGCAAGUGAAGAAAAUUUAUAGGAACAAAGCAAAGUUGGCCAACAGUUCAAAUGUUCUCUCUUGUUAGCAACAACAUUCUUCUUCCCUGGAUGAAUGCUGUAUUUUGGCUGAUAACUUUAAUCAUGAAACUUGAGUCAGAACUGAGCCUUACUCUCAGCGUUAGAAAUAGUUCAACUGUUCCUCCGAAGUUCACGCACUUGGUUAUCCUAAAAGGAGAAGAUUAAAAAAAUGAAAUUUUUACAGCUGUUGAUUUUUCCCUUUCCCUGUAUGGCCAUGAAUAGCACAACAGGAAGGAGAGGAGAGAUGGCUGUGGUAAUGGAACAAAGUAGAUUUAUUGAUCUCAUUAAUGAUGCUUACCCAAGAUAGUCAUCUUUGCUUAGACUGAGCUUAGGUGCCAUUUUUGCUGCUAAUUAUGAUUGUGAAGACAUCAUGACAUCUUGGAUUAGAGUGAAAGUAGUGGUACUAAUUCUCAUUAGGAGCUGAAAACCAUGGAGGACCAGGAAUUUCAACAGGGGAACCAGCACUCAGCUAUGGCUGAAUAAGAUAGACCCUUCUAUGGAUGUGUGAAUUAAAAAUGAGUACUCUAGGAUCAGUAUGCACUUAAUAGAAGAAGAAAGAAAGACAAAUUCUACUGAGAUCUUUGUGCCUGCAGUACUUCAACAAUUCUUGCUACUUUAUGUAUUAUUAUUUUAUUAAGUUCAUAUUUUCACAGGUAAUGAAGAAAAACAGAGAAUGCAGGAGCACUUUGUGUCCAUAAAUGACUUUAGUUCAGCUACAGAUGAAGAAAAAAAGUAAUUACUUCUAUUUUCUUUAGGUAUUGUUGAAGGUAUACCGCUAUAAUCUCAGAUUUUUUUAUGUACCUGCACCUUCGCUUCUGCCAGAAUUACUUGCUGCAUUCAUCUAGCUGCAGAGAGACUCUGCUGAAGGAAAGAUUGCACGCAAGGACCUCAAUUCAAUGCCAGGAGACGUGCCUUAAUCUCUGGCUCACAGCCUUGUCAAAUGCUGCAGUAAAGAACUGGCAAGCUCAGUGCUGCUAAUGGAUUGAAAUCUCCACCAGAGAUAUGCUGUGCAACCUCAGCUUGCCUUUUCUAUGAGCAGCUGAAAGACAUUGCUAAGCAGAAUUUACCCAUUUGCAAUGGCAUUUUGAGCCCAAGCGGGCCUUGGGCAGGGUGCAAAGAGGGAUGCACCAUUACAGUGUGGUUCACAGUAACUUGUAUUGCAACCUGAUGUUUUUCAGAAUUUGUGAAUCUUUACAGUAAUUUGUAUUGCAACCCAAAAUCUGUGAAUUUUAAGCUCAGGGGAAAAAAAGAAAAAAGAGAGGUGGG
Molecule: long non-coding RNA, 24379 nt
Organism: Gallus gallus (chicken)
Lineage: Eukaryota; Metazoa; Chordata; Aves; Galliformes; Phasianidae
Source: Ensembl